GGUGGCCGAGUAGGUGGCAAGCUGUAGCCUUGCUUACGGGGCAUAGCCCCCCCCA
This 55-nucleotide transfer RNA is filed under the name Cyrtodactylus cucphuongensis. RNAcentral's name for it is "partial tRNA-Tyr". Lineage: Eukaryota; Metazoa; Chordata; Lepidosauria; Squamata; Gekkonidae. The record is from RNAcentral.